This 3253-nucleotide long non-coding RNA is filed under the name Physcomitrium patens. RNAcentral describes it as "long non-coding RNA (PPAT_LNC003414)". The record is from RNAcentral. Lineage: Eukaryota; Viridiplantae; Streptophyta; Bryopsida; Funariales; Funariaceae.
CACUUCAAUACAUUCCAAAAUUGAUAGGAAAUUUGUUAUUGAUUCUCUCUUCCAAAAAUUCAAAGUCUUAGAGUUGCAUUGCAAUUUUUGUUAAAUGUAUGAUUUCAUGUAUAAUAUAUUAUUACUAAGUUUAAUGGUUUAACCUAGGAAUUCCUCUCAAUGUUAAGGUUUUUAGAGGACUAACCCUAGAAUCUCUCAACUAUGAGAAGAUUGGGUUUGUGCACUUCACUAAUGUUAAAAUUGGGGCUUGACCUUUUAGAGUGAAGUGAUUCUUACAUGUUAAUACAUAUUUGCCAAUGAUAAUCAACUAUGAUGCUUACUCAUGGGAAGUUUUGGAAACUACCUCUUAAAAGGAGCACCCUCAAAAAGAAUGAAGAUUCCUUGUUCACUUGUGGAUGAAAAAGAAUCUCUAUUUAAAGCAAAAUACAAAUCUAACAAAUGGUCUUAAUACAAAGGGCUUCUGGCAUUCACAAUGGAACUCAACCAAGCAAAAACUAUUUUUAAAUGGUGUGGGCCAAUACAUGGAAUAUUUUGUAAGUAGUGCACUUUGGAAUGUCAAUUGAUACAAAGUUGCAUAUCCAGCAUGAAACUAUGUGUCCUACCAAUUUACAUGCCACAUCAAAAUGACUUAUCAAAAAUCAAAAAAAUAUUGAUUCAGAUACAUUAUUUCACAACUACAUGAUAUGUGUUUCCAACAUGUAACUUACAAAUCACAUACCCAAACUUUCCUCACACCAAAGCUUUAUUAUCAGAAUUCAUUCAAACACAACAAUCUAAAUAAAUAAAUAAAUAAAAACAUCAUUCAUACAUGGAUGAGAUAGUUGUAUCAAUUUAAGAUAUUUUACACAAUACCCAAAUGACCAACAUCACAUUUAACAAAAUAUAGACAGUGAUAUCAUAUUUCAGUGAAAAAUAUGAAACCCAUUAUUCAUUUUCUUUGCAAAUUAUAUAUAUAUAUAUAUAUAUAUAUAUAUAUUCACAUACACAUAUUUUUUUAUUAAAGAAAAUACAAAAAAACUUACAGAAUAUUUUUACAAAAUUAAGAAACAAAUCACCCAGGAAAGAGCUGUUGGUGAGCUCUCCUUGUCAUGCCCAGCUUCUUCUUUGUGCAAACCAAGGCAAGCAAAGGUUGCCAUCCCCCUCCCCUUGUAAGCAAAUUUUAGUGAUCUAAACUUAAAACUCACUCUCACUCUCUCUCACACACAUAUACAACUGUACUGGGCCUCCAGUUCUGCCUCCAAUCCCCAGGUCUCUCUAGCCCUCGAUUCUCUCAACUCCCAUUCAAGUUUGUUGGCUGUGUCAGACGCGAGGCACAGACAUAAAACAAAAGAAAACUAAACUAAAUUAAAUUAAAUUACUAAGUCAGAUGUUGCCAAAAACUGGCGUUUAAACUCAUGGGAAGUGAAAGUGUGCAUGUCUUUUUUACCAUGUGAGCUAAUUGAGGAGAAUAUGUCAAUCAAAACCUUUUGUUUUCAGAGGUCUAGAAUGAUUCAAAGCUCAGAGAGAGAGAGAGAGAGAGAGAGAGAGAGGUAGCUUAUUUUCAGAAGAGCAAACUAACACCCAAAAUUAUGUUGGAGGUUCAAAUUUCUAGCAAUGAAAUCACAACCAUGCCCGAUGGAAGCCAACAGUGUAUAAAAAAAUGUAUAAAAAAUUUGUAUAGUUGGAGAGAUGUAGAUUGUGGUAGAAGGGUAUGUGUAUGGGGAUGUGGGGGGUUGUUGUAUGUGAGGGUGUGUGAGACAGAUGCAUGGCUUUGUGGUAAAAACAAAGUCACAAGGCAGAGAGAAUGGCAGUGGCCACAAGGCAAACAAACAGGACUUCUCUCUGUCACCAGCAGCACAAACAAACACUAACUGCUCUCUUGUGUAUACACAUGAUGCAGAGGUUUAUUUUUAAAACAAUUUUGUCACUCCCACGAGAAGGCUACAAAGGGGUCAAUACUAGGAGCAACUCUUGACCAGUUUGAACAGGACGACUCCUCAUUACCUUUUCUACCAUGUGGACAUGGGGAGUAAAUAUAUAUACCCAAUAUAUAUACAUAUAGUACGAGUUCUUUUCUAUCUUAUUUUAACUUUUGGGCUCAAACUUUGCAGCCCAAUUUCUGGUACCUAAACACAUGAUUUUUCAUGGUAUUCUGGUGCCCUAGUCCCUGUUUUGAUGCCCUACCAUUGCACGUAAUAGCAGACUUGGCUUCUACAACACGUAAAGAUCUUUUGCGGUGAUUCUCUUUGGCUCCCUCUUCAUCUGUUUAAUACAAGAUCUUGCAGGCUUUUUAUUGUGUGAACUUGAAGUGGUUGUAUGGACAAUAUGUUCCCAUCCAUUUCAUCCUCGUGCCCUAAAGUUCAUCGGUGCUCGAACCUCACAUCCCAAUUUGUUGCACCUAAAGCAAUCUUCAUGGUUUGUUUGUAGUGUCCUAAUCUUUACUUUGAUGCCCUAAUAUUACAUCUAAUUGUAGUUUUGUCUUCAUUGUUGAGCAACAUUUUGUGGAGGUGAUUCUCUUUAGUUUCUUCAAGGUGGUAUACUUUGCCCCUCUUUCUUGUUGUUGUAGCCAUGUGGUAUCUAUUGGGUCUUGGUUUCUUUUUGGUUGAGGCCCUUCUUAUGACUUUUCUUCUAAUCCUCAUUGUUAUCAUCAUGUAUUAAAAUUUCUUUUGUCCUCUUGAAAUUAUUGCUUCGAUUGUAGAAUCUCUUUGUGAUGAUAAAUUUUUAUUUUUUAAACUUUGGAGACUUUAGUUACAUUGUUUUGCAUGUAGAAUGCUCAUUCUUUAACAAUUUAAUUCAUGUGUUUUAAUUUUUUUUACUCUAUUUGAAAUCUAUACAAUUUGAUUAGUUUUGAGUGAAUAGUAAGAUUAUAUAAUGUUGUAUACAUGUGUAUACAAAUAUAUAUAUAUAUAUAUAUAUAGUAUUCUGAAAAAUGUAAUGGAUAGACAUAAAAUUGCUUUUCAAGUUCAAAAUCCUCUUUCAAAUCCUAUUGAUUUCAAUGACUAAGGCUUUAUCAAAGAAUUAUUACAAGGUCAAGACACAUCUUUGUUGUGGCAAUCAUGGUUCAUUAAAUUUUGUAAAAGCACAUUAAUGAUUUCUUACUAGAACAAGAAAUAGAGAAUAUAUAUAUAUUAUAGAAAAUUUAAGUUAUACAUUUAAGAGUUUUUUUAAGUAAAAAUCAUCUAUAAAUAAAUUUAUUAUUUGUAAACUAGUUGUAAUUUCUAAUCUUAAAAUUAUGUGUUAUAUACUAUGUCAUUUAUAAAUACUAUUUUUUAAC